RNAcentral lists this long non-coding RNA (652 nucleotides) under Vulpes vulpes (red fox). RNAcentral's name for it is "lncRNA (ENSVVUG00000020917.1)". Lineage: Eukaryota; Metazoa; Chordata; Mammalia; Carnivora; Canidae. The record is from RNAcentral.
AUGAGGCACUGGGAAGCCAAAACAAGAAAGUCAAUGAAGCUCCAAGUGCCACUUGGACAGAAACAUCUCUCAGUAAAACAACCAAAGGAGAUUGCUUACUUCGGGCUUCACUCCAAAGGCAUGAAAGCCCCAAACCAGGCUCCCUUCGCACUGUUGCAAAUGUGGCUGCCUGUGUCAAUGGACUCACAUUCUAACAGUUGCCUGACUAAAGACAAGAGUGGUUUUCUCUUCCUGCUUGAGUUGGAAAGAUCCCACGGAAGGGCCGUUAUUGGCCAGAGAGUGAUCAUGUCCAGCCCAGAGCUAGAGAAGUUAGAGGACUAUUAUUGGCUCACUUUGGCUCAUAAAUUAAUGCUUAUCAUCUCACAAAUGAGGUCUGUUUCCAAAUUAAAUAGGAGAGGCUCAAAUAUGGUCACUGGGGAAAUUGUCAUCAUCUGGAAUAUCAUGAACAACCCAAUUUGUACAGGGUGUACCAAAACCCAGCAGUACCACAACAUGUUAAAGAUCCCAACACUGAUAGCAUCUGCCAAUGGAGAUUAAGACCCAAUCAUUUAAAUGUUCAGUACCUACAGUCUACAUAAGGAUAUUCAGACAGAAAACUAAAAAUAACCCAAAUAUCUACAAUAUCUAUUUCCAUUAAUUCUAAUAAACAAAA